AAACUUUCAACAACGGAUCUCUUGGUUCUGGCAUCGAUGAAGAACGCAGCGAAAUGNGAUAAGUAGUGNGAAUNGCAGAAUUCAGUGAAUCAUCAAAUCUUUGAACGCACAUUG
This 114-nucleotide ribosomal RNA is filed under the name uncultured Cenococcum. RNAcentral's name for it is "partial 5.8S ribosomal RNA". It matches the Rfam family "5.8S ribosomal RNA", at positions 1 to 113 of the family's 154-position model. Rfam says of the family: 5.8S ribosomal RNA (5.8S rRNA) is a component of the large subunit of the eukaryotic ribosome. It is transcribed by RNA polymerase I as part of the 45S precursor that also contains 18S and 28S rRNA. Lineage: Eukaryota; Fungi; Ascomycota; Dothideomycetes; Gloniales; Gloniaceae. The record is from RNAcentral.